UACGGAGGAUGCAAGCGUUAUCCGGAAUCAUUGGGCGUAAAGCGUCCGCAGGUGGCAGUUCAAGUCUGCUGUCAAAGACUGGGGCUUAACCCUAGAAAGGCAGUGGAAACUGAACAGCUAGAGUGCGGUAGGGGUAGAGGGAAUUCCCGGUGUAGCGGUGAAAUGCGUAGAGAUCGGGAAGAACACCAGUGGCGAAAGCGCUCUGCUGGGCCUGCACUGACACUGAGGGACGAAAGCUAGGGGAGCGAAUGGG
Molecule: ribosomal RNA, 253 nt
Filed under: uncultured bacterium
Lineage: Bacteria
Description: partial 16S ribosomal RNA
Rfam family: Bacterial small subunit ribosomal RNA
Source: RNAcentral